This 105-nucleotide ribosomal RNA is filed under the name Vibrio cholerae. Its description in RNAcentral is "partial 16S ribosomal RNA". It matches the Rfam family "Bacterial small subunit ribosomal RNA", at positions 1439 to 1533 of the family's 1533-position model. Lineage: Bacteria; Pseudomonadati; Pseudomonadota; Gammaproteobacteria; Vibrionales; Vibrionaceae. The record is from RNAcentral.
CUUUUGGGAGGGAGCCGUCUAAGGUGGGAUUGGCGAUUGGGACUAAGUCGUAACAAGGUAGCCGUACCGGAAGGUGCGGCUGGAUCACCUCCUUUCUAAGGAGCA